This 230-nucleotide ribosomal RNA is filed under the name uncultured bacterium. RNAcentral's name for it is "partial 16S ribosomal RNA". It matches the Rfam family "Bacterial small subunit ribosomal RNA", at positions 118 to 348 of the family's 1533-position model. The record is from RNAcentral.
UGGGCAACCUGCCCUCAGCUCUGGGAUAACUCCAAGAAAUUGGGGCUAAUACCGGAUAUGACUGCUGACCGCAUGGUCUGGUGGUGGAAAGAUUUAUCGGCUGGGGAUGGGCCCGCGGCCUAUCAGCUUGUUGGUGAGGUAAUAGCUCACCAAGGCGAUGACGGGUAGCCGGCCUGAGAGGGUGACCGGCCACACUGGGACUGAGACACCGCCCAGACUCCGUAGGGAGG